UUUACCCGAAGGUGGUGCGCUAACCAGCAAUGGAGGCAGCCAACCACGGUAGGGUCAGCGACUGGGGUGAAGUCGUAACAAGGUAGCCGUAGGUGAACCUGCAGAAGGAUA
RNAcentral lists this ribosomal RNA (111 nucleotides) under uncultured eukaryote. RNAcentral's name for it is "partial small subunit ribosomal RNA". It matches the Rfam family "Bacterial small subunit ribosomal RNA", at positions 1416 to 1523 of the family's 1533-position model. The record is from RNAcentral.